GGGCGGUUAGCUCAGUUGGUUCAGAGUAUCUCGUGUACACCGAGGGGGGCGGGAGGUCGAGUCCUUCACUGCCGA
This 75-nucleotide transfer RNA is filed under the name Rhodothermaceae bacterium. Its description in RNAcentral is "tRNA-Val". The record is from RNAcentral. Lineage: Bacteria; Pseudomonadati; Rhodothermota; Rhodothermia; Rhodothermales; Rhodothermaceae.